GAGGCCAGCCCGGGUGAGGAUCUCAUUAUUAGUCAAUCUCUCCUCCCAGGAAACGUUGAGGAGAGAUCGGAGUCGUCCUUGGUGUAACCUCUCAAGCCUCUUGAUGCUGCUCCGAUAGAGGGUCCAACAUUCGGCGCCAUAGAGAAGGGUCGUGAGGACGACAGACAGACUUAUACACCAUGAUCUUCGUGUUGGUGGAAAUGGCGUGAUUCCUGAAGACCAGACGACCGAGGCGUCCAAAGGCUGUGUGGGCUGCCUGGAUACGGUGGAGGGUCUUUGUCUUUUUGGUGUUGACGGAGAGGCCAAAGGUCCUGUACGCCGCGGCGAAGCCGUCCGCGAUGAGCUGGAGGCCCCCGGAGGAGUUGGAGACCGCAGCAUUGUCAUCAGCGUAUUGGAGUUCGCUGACGGUCGUGACCAUGGUCCCCCGCUUGCUCCUCAAACGGCUGAGGUUGAAGAGUGACCCUUCAGUUUGGUAGCGUAGAGUGAUUCCAUGCUCCUGGACAGGGGUGACGUGGUGGAUGAGCGCGGCGAUGUAGAGGCAGAACAACGUCGGCGCCACCGUGCAGCCCUGUUUGACACGGUCCGGACCGGGAAUGGGGGAGUCAUUUCGCCCUGAGUCAGGACGCAACCCUUCAUGCCGUCGUGAAACAUCCGGAAGAGAUAUGAAUUUGGGGGGGCAGCCUUGACGUUCCAGCACUUUCCAGAGUGCUGUUCAUGGCACAGAAUCAAACGCUUUGGCCAGAUCAUAAAAGAUGGCGUGGAACUCCCUCCGCUGCUCCCGGCACUUCUCCAGGAGCUGCCUGGCGCAGAACACCAUGUCCGCGGUUCCCCUGCCUGGACGGAAGCCCGCCUGGGACUCCGGAAGAACCCGCUCAGCGAGACAGUUUCCACAGUCGAGUUUGUCGCCCUUCUUGAAUAUCGUGACGAAGACGGAGUGCUUCAGUUCCCCAGGCACCAUCUCCUCGGCCCAGCAUUGAAGGAUGAAGGUGUGGAGGCGGGGCUCCGGAGAUCUCCCGGAGAGUCGGCAGCUCCGUCAUCCAGUGUUGCACGGGGAGCUGGGGGACAGGAUCGAGGAAGCCGUCUGCUGCGCAUGUCGGACGGUUCAGGAGCUCCAUGAAAUGCUCCUUCCAUCGCUGAAGGAUCUGGUAUCGUGGCGGUCAGCGAAUCUCUGCAUUUGGUGGGCAAAGUUGACCCACCAUUGAUUUUGGAUCCUCCGGAUCUCUCUCUGUGCUUCACUCUUGGCCG
Hippocampus zosterae (dwarf seahorse) is the source of this 1245-nucleotide RNA transcript. RefSeq lists it as uncharacterized. The record is from RefSeq and is a predicted model, not a curated record. The transcript is spliced from 5 exons. Lineage: Eukaryota; Metazoa; Chordata; Actinopteri; Syngnathiformes; Syngnathidae.